RNAcentral lists this ribosomal RNA (444 nucleotides) under uncultured Streptococcus sp. RNAcentral's name for it is "bacterial SSU rRNA". It matches the Rfam family "Bacterial small subunit ribosomal RNA", at positions 934 to 1382 of the family's 1533-position model. Lineage: Bacteria; Bacillati; Bacillota; Bacilli; Lactobacillales; Streptococcaceae. The record is from RNAcentral.
UGAGUAUGUGGUUAAUUCGAAGCAACGCGAAGACCUUACCAGGUCUUGACAUCCGAUGCUAUUUCUAGAGAUAGAAAGUUACUUCGGUACAUCGGUGACAGGUGGUGCAUGGUUGUCGUCAGCUCGUGUCGUGAGAUGUUGGGUUAAGUCCCGCAACGAGCGCAACCCCUAUUGUUAGUUGCCAUCAUUCAGUUGGGCACUCUAGCGAGACUGCCGGUAAUAAACCGGAGGAAGGUGGGGAUGACGUCAAAUCAUCAUGCCCCUUAUGACCUGGGCUACACACGUGCUACAAUGGUUGGUACAACGAGUUGCGAGUCGGUGACGGCGAGCUAAUCCCUUAAAGCCAAUCUCAGUUCGGAUUGUAGGCUGCAACUCGCCUACAUGAAGUCGGAAUCGCUAGUAAUCGCGGAUCAGCACGCCGCGGUGAAUACGUUCCCGGGCCUU